AGUAUUACUAUAUGUAAAUAUGUUAUUAAUUCUUCUCCAUAUUUACAUAAAGUUAUAAUAUUAC
RNAcentral lists this transfer RNA (64 nucleotides) under Trichinella spiralis. Its description in RNAcentral is "tRNA-Glu". The record is from RNAcentral. Lineage: Eukaryota; Metazoa; Nematoda; Enoplea; Trichinellida; Trichinellidae.